GAUGAACGCUAGCGGCAGGCUUAAUACAUGCAAGUCGAGGGGCAGCGCAGUGUAGCAAUACAUGGGCGGCGACCGGCAAACGGGUGCGUAACACGUACGCAACCUUCCCGUUACUGUGGGAUAGCCCAGGGAAACUUGGAUUAAUACCACAUAUUGCCAUUGGGAGGCAUCUCUUGAUGGCCAAAGAAUUUCGGUAACGGAUGGGCGUGCGGUUGAUUAGGUAGUUGGCGGGGUAACGGCCCACCAAGCCUACGAUCAAUAGCUGAUGUGAGAGCAUGAUCAGCCACACGGGCACUGAGACACGGGCCCGACUCCUACGGGAGGCAGCAGUAAGGAAUAUUGGGCAAUGGACGAAAGUCUGACCCAGCCAUGCCGCGUGAAGGAUGAAGGUCCUCUGGAUUGUAAACUUCUUUUUAUAUGAGAAGAUAAUGACGGUAUCAUAUGAAUAAGCACCGGCUAACUCCGUG
RNAcentral lists this ribosomal RNA (467 nucleotides) under uncultured bacterium. RNAcentral describes it as "bacterial SSU rRNA". It matches the Rfam family "Bacterial small subunit ribosomal RNA", at positions 28 to 507 of the family's 1533-position model. The record is from RNAcentral.